Molecule: long non-coding RNA, 459 nt
Organism: Vidua macroura (Pin-tailed whydah)
Lineage: Eukaryota; Metazoa; Chordata; Aves; Passeriformes; Viduidae
Exons: 4
Source: RefSeq, a predicted model, not a curated record
GCACCCCGUGAGGGCACGGAGCCGCUUAAAGGGCCCCCGCGGCCUGCCCCGCUGUCGGAAACGACAGAACGCCUUCCUAAUUGCAGGAGGAGGACUAAAGCCAGCUCCUUUCAGCAGAAGGGAAACACAGGCACCCGUUCCUACGUUGGGGCACCAGACAGAGGGAGCAAGAUCUCUGGGCAUGAGGAUUUGGCAAGUUAACAAACAUUCACUACAAGAGAGAGAAAUGGCACAGAGGUACUUUUACAGAUGCUGCAAAAACAUUUGAAAAGACAUUACUUUUGUAGCAGAUGUUUCAGAAAACUCGGCAGUGAGAUCUUUCCAAACCUUUCCCUGUGCCUUGUUUUUAUCUGCCAGAUGAAGAGAGAGGAAUGACCCAUAUGGUAAAGGACAUUGUGAGAAACACAGAAAAAAAAAAGCUGAUUCAAUGCUCAAGUACUUUACAUAAAUUAUAUUAUU